This 549-nucleotide ribosomal RNA is filed under the name uncultured Glomeromycotina. Its description in RNAcentral is "SSU rRNA". It matches the Rfam family "Eukaryotic small subunit ribosomal RNA", at positions 548 to 1098 of the family's 1831-position model. Lineage: Eukaryota; Fungi; Glomeromycota. The record is from RNAcentral.
UUGGAGGGCAAGUCUGGUGCCAGCAGCCGCGGUAAUUCCAGCUCCAAUAGCGUAUAUUAAAGUUGUUGCAGUUAAAAAGCUCGUAGUUGAAUUUCGGGAUCAAUUUAUUGGUCGUGCCAACGGUACGCACUGGUACAAUUGGUUUCUCCCUUCUGACGAAGCAUGAUGUCAUUAAUUUGAUGUCGUGGGGAAUCAGGACUGUUACUUUGAAAAAAUUAGAGUGUUUAAAGCAGGCUUUGGCUUGAAUACAUUAGCAUGGAAUAAUGAAAUAGGACGUUUGAUCUUAUUUCGUUGGUUCCUAAGAUCGACGUAAUGAUUAAUAGGGAUAGUUGGGGGCAUUAGUAUUCAAUUGUCAGAGGUGAAAUUCUUGGAUUUAUUGAAGACUAACUACUGCGAAAGCAUUUGCCAAGGAUGUUUUCAUUAAUCAAGAACGAAAGUUAGGGGAUCGAAGACGAUCAGAUACCGUCGUAGUCUUAACCAUAAACUAUGCCGACUAGGGAUCGGAUGAUGUUAAUUUUUUAAUGACUCAUUCGGCGCCUUACGGGAAAC